Molecule: non-coding RNA, 2446 nt
Organism: Odocoileus virginianus texanus
Lineage: Eukaryota; Metazoa; Chordata; Mammalia; Artiodactyla; Cervidae
Source: RefSeq, a predicted model, not a curated record
CUGGAACCCAGGUGUUGGUCUGGGUGACUGUCUCCACAGAGUCCGGUCUUAUCAGGGAAUACAGCUGCAGACGUCUAUGGAGGAUCCUCGUCAAUCCUGAGGCAGCUUUUGCCUUUUAUUUCUUAAUCUGUUUGCAUUUGAUCUCAUAUUUGGUGCAAAGAGCCUCGGGGAGAAAAUUCCAGGCCCUGAUACAGUCGUCUGAGAAUUCGCUUGCCUGGAAAGAGAAGCAUCACCCCAGGAUGUGCCAGGGCCUGCACCCUUCCAGGAGCAAGACAGGCGUGGGUAUGAGGCCCUUCCACAGCCUGGCAGCCUGGGCUGGGUGCUGGUGUCACCAUCCAUGCCCUCUUUUUAACCUCCGAAAAGCAAUUCCAUGCAAAGACUUUGGACUGGAUGUGAGGGCACAGAAGUGGUUCAUCUUUCUCGUAGAUCUGCCUCGAUCACAAAGGACCACGUGCACAGACAUCAGCCCAGAAGCGAGGCCCGGGCCACCAGGGUCUUCUGUGCCGACUGGCCUUGCUCCCAGCCUCCAGGCUCUCCCUAGCCCACAGUGCCCACACCUGAUAGACCUGUUUCCAUAACAAAGCAGGGUUGUGUCUCCAUAAUACCAGACAGUGCCAAUUGUCAGGCAAGCCACCGGCGAGAGAUGGAAGGAAGAGGGUGGGGGAGGAGAGGAGGAAAUCAGAGGAGCCACUUGCUGGGUGAGGUGACGAGUCAGCCUCCUGGCCAUGGCUGGCUCUCACCCAGGGAGGCGAGGCCUGAGCAGAGAGAGGGAAGACGCUAAAUGUUCAUAGAACACCUUCAACACGCUAAGGCCACGUGCUGGUGGAUGGCGGGGAGUAGGGGAGUGACUUGUGCAUGGGUGAGCUGGGACAGCCCUUGGACAUGACACCUGUUCACACCAGCCUAGACACAGACUCCCAGGGCUCCUGUCUCAGGCCAGGUCUGGUCAACCAUGACCCUGGCUGACCGGACCAGCUGCGCUUCACCUCUAGACAUGUCACCUGCACAUCGGACACUCAGAGGCCAACAAAACCCCAGCUUCUCCGAGGAAGGUCUGACUGUGGAUCCCCUCCUCGUUCUUGUCCAACACCUUCAUCAAAAGGCUGGUACACCUGUUCCUUUAGAUGCUUCCUGGGCUGUCGGCAUUGCAAAGAGCACAGAAUCAUCUCUCCUGGAUGAGUGUGAGUCCACACUGCAGAUCAGGAGGCUGUGGGAAGGCCCUGUCCACAAUCUAGGACUCACAGGACUUGAAACAUUCAGUUAGAAAUGAACUUAAAAGAAGCUGCUUGGUUGUUUUUUUUUUCCCUUUUCUUAAAAUUUUUAUGGGAGUAUCAUUGAUUUACCAAGUUGUAUUAGUUUCAGGUGUGCAGCAAUCAGUUAUUUUAUAAUUGUUUCCCAUUUUUGUACUCUUUUUCAGGUCAGUGUUUGUUGGGUGCUUUUGACUCACUUCAUAGAUGUGACUGUAGUUUUUGUUUUUUUUCUCCUGUGGACCAGAGUCAUUAUCAUAGGUGUCCAUCAUCUUUUUUUAAAUUUACUGAGGAUUAUUUAUGUAUAGUAACAUGCACACGGCUUUAGCAUUUAGCUCAAUGACUUUACCUAUUUGUGGACAACCUACUUGAGUUCCAGAUCAGGACACAGAGCAUUCUCUGGCCCCCUCGUGCCAACCCCUCGCUGGACAAUAACCCUCUGACAGCAACCCCUCUUCCCUGCUCUCUCUCCUGGGUUUUGGGUGCCUGUCCUUGAACUUCAAGUGAGCAGAGGCUCCUUUUGCUCAGCCUUGUUUCCAUGGGAUCUGCCCACAUGGGUGUGCAGGGCUGUGAUGGUUUCUUUUUGUGCUGCGUAUGUGUACAUUGUUUUUUACCUGAUGCUUCGGCUCCCUUCCAAGUUUAGUGUAAGCCAAGAAUAACCACACCACUGCCUCUGGAUGUGAGACAAGUGACCUCCCAGACUGGCUCGUUUUAGAAGGAACUUCAGCUGAAACUGAAACAGUCAUGGGCUGCCUCCAAACUGGUUACACGACCUAAGGGUAAUUGCAGGACAGCAGAUCAGCUUGGGGGUCAAGCUUUUAAAGACAUGCCUAAAAGAACUGCUAUGAUGUGCAUAAAAUUUGGAGGCUGCUUUUCAUGGAAAAAGCACAACCCAUUACUUGUACAUUCUUUCCAUCCCCUUUUUCUUCUAAAUGAGAGGAAAGUAGAAUUAAGGUGCCGUCAGAAAAGAUGCCCCCCCCACCCACUCCGAGGCAGGGCCAUGGAGGGUCCUUUCAAUCCAGCAUUAGUGAAUAUAAACAGUACAAGGGAUCUUGUUGGAAAUGUUCACUCCCAGCCCAUCCUGAGGAAAAGGAUUCAGGAGGCCUGGAAAUCUACAUCAUUCAGACAUUUGUGUUAAAGUUUGAGAUCUAUUCUGGAGGAAGGGACAGUGCAGCACGUCUUUUUGGUGGAUCCUGGAG